AGAGUUUGAUCCUGGCUCAGAGUGAACGCUGGCGGCGUGCUUAACACAUGCAAGUCGAGCGGUUCCUGGCAGUGUAUCGCCAGGGAUAGCGGCAGACGGGUGAGUAAUGCUUGGGCAAUCUGCCCUCCAGAGGGAAACAACCUGCCGAAAGGCGGGCUAAUAUCCCAUAAGACCACGGGAUCGCAUGAUUCUGAGGUAAAAGCUCCGCAAGGGGCGUUGGAGGAGGAGCCCGAGUCCUAUCAUGGUAGUUGGUGAGGUAACGGCUCACCAAGCCUACGACGGGUAGCCGGCCUGAAAGGGUGAUCGGCCACACUGGCACUGAGACACGGGCCAGACUCCUACGGGAGGCAGCAGUGGGGAAUUUUGGACAAUGGGGGCAACCCUGAUCCAGCGACGCCGCGUGGAGGAUGAAGGUCUUCGGAUUGUAAACUCCUUUUCAAGGGGAAGAAUGGCCGGAUGAAGAAUCCGGUGUGACGGUACUCUUGGAAUAAGCCACGGCUAACUACGUGCCAGCAGCCGCGGUA
This 524-nucleotide ribosomal RNA is filed under the name uncultured bacterium. RNAcentral's name for it is "bacterial SSU rRNA". It matches the Rfam family "Bacterial small subunit ribosomal RNA", at positions 8 to 522 of the family's 1533-position model. The record is from RNAcentral.